RNAcentral lists this long non-coding RNA (1513 nucleotides) under Suricata suricatta (meerkat). RNAcentral's name for it is "lncRNA (ENSSSUG00005014185.1)". The record is from RNAcentral. Lineage: Eukaryota; Metazoa; Chordata; Mammalia; Carnivora; Herpestidae.
GGACUGGCCUCGGGGGACGGGGGCAGCCACAUACACCCCUUCCUGGGCACAGACCCCUGCAGGCUUGGUGGCAAAUGGGAAGAAAGAAGUACCAAGGGGAACUUACUUGCCGCCUCCGGGGAGAAGCACAGUCUCAGGGCGCGGACCGCUCCCACCGCCAGACUGAGGGCCACACCAAGGGCCAUGCUGACAGCCACACCUAUGGCCAGACUGACCUCAGUCACAGGCGCUGCAGUUCAUCGCGCCGCCGGGAGAGGGCAGCCUGGGCGCAGACACCCCCAACCAGUGUGGAAGCUGCUGGUGAGCGCGACCCUGGAAACCAGCUCUGCCAGGGGACAAAUGUGUACCACCUGAGUCAGAGCACCUGGAGGCGGGAAGAGACACCUUGCGUCCGACACUCGGGACCUCCAUACACAAGUGGACAACAGAAAGGAAGGGAGAGAAGUGACAACACACAGAUCAACCUCCCAGACAACAUGGAGAAGGAAGCCGAGGCGAGAACGGGCCGGGAAGGAAGCCGCGAGGGUCACAGGGAAGGGGAUGGAGCGGACAGCACGCCGACCUCACUAACAACUGAAAACUCCGGUUCUCUGGGAAAUUUCAUCCUGAGCGAGCCGCCGGCCUGGUCGGUGCGAGGCAGACAGUAGGGUCCGCAGGAUAAUAAACACCAAGGAUGAAGGAGGUAUAGUACUUGGAACUAACCUAAAAAAAUUGCGGAAAGACAAAAUCACAGACCCAAUAUCUCUUAGAUGUAUCAAGGCAAUAAUGUUAAAUAAGUAUUAGCAGGCAGUGUCCAACAGCAGGUGAAGAAAGUAACACACGGUGACAGAGUAGGAUCCAUCCCAGGAUUCAAUGGGAGAUAAACACUAGGGAAUCUGUCAAUACAGCUGCUCAUAAUGGGGCGUCUGGGUGUCUCACGCUCUGUGCCCUCCCUUCCCGGGCUCCUUGCCAACCCCGGGCGCGGCAGGAUGGGUGCGGUCCACUGACCGGCUCCGGGAAUGGGACCAGUGACCGUCUUAGAGCCCGCUGGACACUCGGAAAGCUGCGAUCCCAUUCUUCUGUGAGGGUCGCGUGCGGAGCUGUGGACGCGGGAGAGUCCCCCUAGCAGCCCCCUGGCUCUCAGCACGCAAAUCCCCCUGGUCCCCGGAGGAAGAGGCCUGCGUCAAAGGCACAGCUGAUCUGGUUGUGAAGAGCCUGGCCAGAUUCCGAGGCCGCGAGUGAGAGACAGGGAGCAGAGAGAGAGGGACACACAGAAUCCGAAGCAGCUCCAGGCUCCGAGCUGUCAGUACAGAGCCUGACGCGGGGCUGGAACUCACAAGCCGAACGAUCAAGACCGGAGCCAAAGUCGGAAGCUCAACCGACUGGGCCGCCCUGGCGCCCCUGGGGUCCCUCCCUUCUGUACAGGUAAAGAUGGUAUUGAGACAAAGAACACAAAAAGGUUUUUUUGUUUGUUUUGUUUAGUGUAGAUUUUUUAUUUAUAGUUUAUUGUCAAAUCGGUUUCCGUAUAACACCC